This is a transfer RNA of Camelus ferus (Wild Bactrian camel), 72 nucleotides long. It matches the Rfam family "tRNA". Rfam says of the family: Transfer RNA (tRNA) molecules are approximately 80 nucleotides in length. Their secondary structure includes four short double-helical elements and three loops (D, anti-codon, and T loops). Further hydrogen bonds mediate the characteristic L-shaped molecular structure. tRNAs have two regions of fundamental functional importance: the anti-codon, which is responsible for specific mRNA codon recognition, and the 3' end, to which the tRNAs corresponding amino acid is attached (by aminoacyl-tRNA synthetases). tRNAs cope with the degeneracy of the genetic code in two manners: having more than one tRNA (with a specific anti-codon) for a particular amino acid; and 'wobble' base-pairing, i.e. permitting non-standard base-pairing at the 3rd anti-codon position. Lineage: Eukaryota; Metazoa; Chordata; Mammalia; Artiodactyla; Camelidae. The record is from Rfam.
GAGGGUACAGCUCAGUGGUAAAGCACAUGCUUAACAGGCAUGAGGUCCUGGGUUCAAUCCCCAGUACCUCCA